CCAUUGGUGAUUUGGUGGUACAAAUCUCAUCUGUCAUGUGGGAGACCUAGGUUCGAGUCCCAGCCAGUGCA
This 71-nucleotide transfer RNA is filed under the name Scleropages formosus (Asian bonytongue). It matches the Rfam family "tRNA". Rfam says of the family: Transfer RNA (tRNA) molecules are approximately 80 nucleotides in length. Their secondary structure includes four short double-helical elements and three loops (D, anti-codon, and T loops). The record is from Rfam by way of RNAcentral. Lineage: Eukaryota; Metazoa; Chordata; Actinopteri; Osteoglossiformes; Osteoglossidae.